GAUCUCCUCGGAGUCGGGUUGCUUGGGAGUGCAGCCCUAAGAGGGUGGUAAACUCCACCUAAGGCUAAAUACCGCCGUGAGACCGAUAGCAAACAAGUACCGUGAGGGAAAGUUGCAAAGAACUUUGAAGAGAGAGUUCAAGAGUACGUGAAACUGCUCAGAGGUAAACGGGUGGGCCCUCGAAAUCCUGUGGCGAGAGGAUUCAGUCUGGGGCAGCGGAGGCGAGGGGUCGGAACAUCAGAAGGGCCUCCAGUGAAUCUGGGCCGUCCGACCGCGCCGUUUCGCGCGUUCCAGACGCAUUUGACUCUCGCCCGAAGGACGCAGCAACCGGUCGGGCAUUGCAAGCACGCCGGCCUGAAGGUCGGGGAAUGGCAGGUGGCCGGUGGAGCGCCCUACGGCGCAUCGCCGGUUGUUAGCCGCCCCGUCAGUGGCCCGUCGCCCGACCGAGGUGCAAACAGGUCCCCCCUGGGACCUCUCCGUCUCCUCUCACUCAGAGAUUGCGGGACAGAUCGUCGCUGAUGACGACUUCAGCCCGGUCGCACCCCCGACGGGGUGGACCCGGUGCGGCUGUCGACGUCGCAUGCGGCGGCGGACCCCCCGGAGACCGGAGGCUCGCUGCGAGUAGGUCGGUCACCCACCUGACCCGUCUUGAAACACGGACCAAGGAGUCUAACAUGUGCGCGAGUCAUUGGGUCUUGAACAGGCCCAGAGGCGCAAUGAAAGCAAAGGCACGCAUCACGCGUGCCGAGUUGGGAUCCCCGGUMUUGUGGCCGGGGCGC
This 779-nucleotide ribosomal RNA is filed under the name Tabuina aff. rufa UBC SEM W.Maddison d312. RNAcentral describes it as "eukaryotic LSU rRNA". It matches the Rfam family "Eukaryotic large subunit ribosomal RNA", at positions 252 to 758 of the family's 3401-position model. The record is from RNAcentral. Lineage: Eukaryota; Metazoa; Arthropoda; Arachnida; Araneae; Salticidae.